ACGGGACAGGGCUGCUGCUGAUAGCCAUGGGAAUCAUAAUGAAAAUGCUGCCCGAAAACAAAGUCCUGGGUUGGAGUGUGAUCUCACAUACUGCUGCCAAACAUGCAAACUCUUUCAAACUAGGGAAGAGUAGAACAGCAAAUGAAACAGAAGAGGAAAGGCCCUUGGUCUGAAGUAUUGAGGGCUGCAGUUUUCUUUCUACUUGAUUUUUUGAAUUUAGUUCUCCAUACACCCCAAGGAUUAAAGAAAGGAAAGGAGAGAAGGUGACAAGGCAAAUGUUAGCUAGUUUAGCUCCCUGGUGGGAAAAAUUAUGAGCAUUAAUGUGAAGGGGAAUGGCUAGGAGUUAGUUUCUUCCAAAAGAUCAUGUUGAUCAAAGAAAUAGUGGUAAAAACGUACCAUCCUUAUUUUAAAUUUAACAAGAAUCCAAUUUAAAGCAAUCAUGUUUUCAUCUAAAAGACUUGGACUACUUGGAUCUAACAAAAGUUAUAAGAUUCAUAUAGCCGACCUUACUUAGUGGGACAAGGCUUUGUUGUUGUUGUUAUUGUUGUUGUUGUUUUCAUCUGAAAUAGCAGACAUGUGAUAAACCAUAAUUUAAUUCAAUGUGUUUAGUUAUAGUUAUGAAAUUCAUGCAUUCGAUUAUGCCAAAAUGUAUUACAAACAAAUUAAGCUGGAGUUGUUUAUAGUUAACAAUGUUUGGCUCCACAUAAUUGUGAAGGAAUACCUCUGAAAAACAUUAUGAUCCGAUUUACAGAACUUUGUACUUAUGACCAGAGUUAUAUUAUAAUAACUAUGUAUAGAUUAUAACUGUAAAAAAAUUAAGAAAAGAUGAUAACGUUUAGUUAUCCAAUUGCAUAAAUACAAAGGGUCGAAAUAGGUAAAAUUAUUACAAAUUGUCUAUCUAUUUGCUACAAUUAAUUAACUAAAUGAUCUUUAUUAAUUGAUUUUUUAUAAGAAUGAUCUUUAGUGAAUAAUUUAUAAUAUGAAUGAUUUUAAUUUUAAGUAUGAAGCUUUGUGAAUCAACCCCGAAAUAUUUUUAUGAAACAAUUCCAAGCAUUGUUCGUUGCAAAGGGGAUCACCAAUGCUAACGAUGACUAGGUUGAGGAUGAUAAGAAAAUAGAGGAUACAAUGCUUAACUAUUUGGCCAAACCGGAUAAAUUAAUGAUCCUUGUAGUCAUAAGGUAUUCGGAAGAUAGUCUUUGUGCUAAAAAAAACUCGGAUUUAAACCCCUUUGUGUACUCCGUUAGCAAAUUUAGUCAAAAAGUGAUUUUUCCGUUAACUAUCUAUUAAUACACGGGUAAAAUUGUACUUUGAGGUGUGCACCUCCUUCUUCCUGCAUCUCCCCUAUGCAACCACCAAACUCACUUUGCGCAAGGGAAAAAGGAGAGACCAUUUUAAGUUUUUCACAGAGCCACCAUGUCUCCAUGGGCCAAACCUGGCGCCUGGGCCCUCGUCGCCGAGGAGCAGGAAGCCGAACUCGAACAGGAAGCCAAAGAGUUUGGAGGGGGGAAGUCAAACUCGGAUUUAAACCCCCUAUCGUCUUUUCUUGACUUCCUCCUAGUCUCUCUCUCUCUCUCUCUCUCUCUCUCUCUCUCUCUCUCACUUUGCUCUAAGUCAGCCAUGGCCAUCGUCACCUUGCUCCGCUCAUUACGUACCGAUUUGUACGUCUCUUUACUUUUUCUGAGAUUCCUUUUUAAGUUCCCAACCUGUCACUCUCGCCACUCAAUCAUAUCUCUGUUUGAUUUGUUUUUUGGUUGAAAGUUAUGAGAUUUUCAGCUUGUUGUAGAAUUUCUUGAUUUUAUGGAGUAUUUGUAUGUUGUGAUCCGGUAGAAUUGAACAAGUAAAAGAUUUAUAAUUCAAUAUUUGAAUUUUUUGGGGCUUCUGAUGUGUUAUUUUG
Molecule: long non-coding RNA, 1894 nt
Filed under: Malus domestica (apple)
Lineage: Eukaryota; Viridiplantae; Streptophyta; Magnoliopsida; Rosales; Rosaceae
Description: long non-coding RNA (MDOM_LNC005845)
Source: RNAcentral